UCAAGGGAAAGAUUUACAGUUAAUCCUCAAAAUGGACAGAGGCAAGACUUCAUCAGCAAAAAUUAUUUUGAUUUCAACUUAAUACGUUGAUAUUAAAUCUUUAAUACAAAUCCAUUAAGAUGAUUGUUUGAUUAAGUCAUUUUUGAUGCAAUCAAAAUCUCGAUGAAAUGCUUAAAUCUGCAUAGUCUUUCCCUACCACAGAUCUAACCACUGCAUCAAGCAUCUCCCAGAUAAAUGACAUUAAUUAAAUAACACAAGCUUAAGGAACAGAAUUCAAAUGAAUGAAAAACUAUUGAAAUGAGUGAGUUACAUAUUAUAGUUUGUUUGAGGCCUCACAUAACAGUUUACCUCACCUUUCCUCCUUGUACUCUACAAUGAUCCUCAAUUUUAAUUCCCUCACUAACGAAACUGAGAUUUUCUCCUCUGGCUUCAAGAGGAGGUGACAGAAAGCAAUUUUAAAGUGUAUAUUAAAAAUGUAUUGUUUCUUUUGUGGUAUCACUCAAGGUAGAAGAGUUUUAUGACAUCAAAAUGUACACUGUCUCUUGGCCAUGAGCUGGAGAGGAGAAGGAUGAGUGGUAAGACUUCACUGGAGAGGAGAAGGAUGAGUGGUAAGACUUCACUGGAGAGGAGAAGGAUGAGUGGUAAGACUUCACUGGAGAGGAGAAGGAUGAGUGGUAAAACUUCACUGGAGAGGAGAAGGAUGAGUGGUAAGACUUCACUGGAGAGGAGAAGGAUGAGUGGUAAGACUUCACUGGAGAGGAGAAGGAUGAGUUGUAAGACUUCACUGGAGAGGAGAAGGAUGAGUGGUAAGACUUCACUGGAGAGGAGAAGGAUGAGUGGUAAGACUUCACUGGAGAGGAGAAGGAUGAGUGGUAAGACUUCACUGGAGAGGAGAAGGAUGAGUGGUAAGACUUCACUGGAGAGGAGAAGGAUGAGUGGUAAGACUUCACUGGAGAGGAGAAGGAUGAGUACACAUUGCUUGUCUUUUCUCCUUUAUCUUUAUAGAACCUCUUCCUAGGUGCUAACUAGCCCGGAUGCCUGUCAGUUUGCCAGGCAUUGGCUGGUCCUUUGUCACUGUCCUGCCAAACCGGAGUAAGCUGGUUGUGUAUGUAUGAGAGGAUAAACACAGCACUUCUCUCUGGUCAGGGUGCCAGUCUUCCAGUCUGUCUCAGUCUGUUCUAGCUAGCUGUUUGGCAUGCAGGGCUGGCUGACUGUUCAAAUAGACUGAAGGCUAGAAAAUGUUUAUUAGUCACAAUUUGAGGGGGUUUAGAAAUGUUAACAUGCAGAGCGCUGCUGGGACAUAGGCCAAUCGAGGGAGACAGGGUAUUUACAUAAGAGGCAGGCUAAGGUGUGUGGGGGUAAGGAGGGGGUGGGUGGGGUGAGGAGUGUAGGGAGUGAUUAGUGACAGACAGGUGCAGGAUGGGUAUGUUCCAAAGUGGUUGGGAUGAGGUACAUGGGGAAAGUGUAAGGGGGUUUGAGUGAGGUGUGUUGAGGUGUUCGUACAUAGGGGGAGUCAGUGCAGUGUGUGUUGCAGCUAACUGCAGUCUUGAUGAUUUGAAUGAUAAAUAUGGGCAUUAGAUAACAUUAGGUAACAUUAGGUAACAUUAGGUAACAUUAAGUAACAUUAGAUAACAUUAGAUAACAUUAGGUAACAUUAGAUAACAUUAGGUAACAUUAGGUAACAUUAGGUAACAUUAGAUAACAUUAGGUAACAUUAGAUAACAUUAGAUAACAUUAGAUAACAUUAGAAAACAUUAGGUAACAUUAGGUAACAUUAGGUAACAUUAGGUAACAUUAGAUAACAUUAGGUAACAUUAGAUAACAUUAGAUAACAUUAG
RNAcentral lists this long non-coding RNA (1838 nucleotides) under Salmo salar (Atlantic salmon). RNAcentral's name for it is "lncRNA (ENSSSAG00000120906.1)". Lineage: Eukaryota; Metazoa; Chordata; Actinopteri; Salmoniformes; Salmonidae. The record is from RNAcentral.